Molecule: ribosomal RNA, 504 nt
Filed under: uncultured bacterium
Lineage: Bacteria
Description: partial 16S ribosomal RNA
Rfam family: Bacterial small subunit ribosomal RNA
Source: RNAcentral
GACGAACGCUGGCGGCGUGCCUAAUACAUGCAAGUCGAACGCACAGUUUAUACCGUAGCUUGCUACACCAUAAACUGUGAGUUGCGAACGGGUGAGUAACGCGUAGGUAACCUGCCUGGUAGCGGGGGAUAACUAUUGGAAACGAUAGCUAAUACCGCAUAAUAUUGAUUAUUGCAUGAUAAUUGAUUGAAAGAUGCUAUUGCAUCACUACCAGAUGGACCUGCGUUGUAUUAGCUAGUAGGUGAGGUAACGGCUCACCUAGGCGACGAUACAUAGCCGACCUGAGAGGGUGAUCGGCCACACUGGGACUGAGACACGGCCCAGACUCCUACGGGGGGCAGCAGUAGGGAAUCUUCGGCAAUGGACGAAAGUCUGACCGAGCAACGCCGCGUGAGUGAAGAAGGUUUUCGGAUCGUAAAGCUCUGUUGUAAGAGAAGAACGGGUGUGAGAGUGGAAAGUUCACACUGUGACGGUAUCUUACCAGAAAGGGACGGCUAACUACGU